This 1042-nucleotide long non-coding RNA is filed under the name Sorghum bicolor (sorghum). Its description in RNAcentral is "long non-coding RNA (SBIC_LNC007827)". The record is from RNAcentral. Lineage: Eukaryota; Viridiplantae; Streptophyta; Magnoliopsida; Poales; Poaceae.
GACAAAUCAUUCAUUUUGUUCCUACUAAACCUAUAGUUUAUCAUAGUGCAAGAUCGAUUAGCCUCAUCAAGAAUGUUUCUUGGGAAAUUGGCAAUUGCGAUCUUGGUGUUGGCAAUAGCUUGUCCCCACCUUGUGACAAGCCAAAGGCAGCCAAUAUGUCGCAAGAUUCAGAAGCUAAGAAUCCUCCACAUUUGUCGAGCUUUCACGAAGAAAGGAUCCACAAUUCGUGCUGUAUCCCCAGAGAGCAAGUGCUGUGAGGAGGUGAGGAAAGUUCAGAACAGUGACAUGCGCUGCGUCGUCUCCAUACUGACAGAUAAAGAGAGGAGCGAACACGACACAGACAAGAUCUUGUCCCUUCAAACGCUCUGCGAAAUUCCGCCCCCUCCUAAUCAGAAUAAGGUGAAAUCGUCUAUCGUUGAUUGUCGAUCUAUUUCUACAAUAUGACAAGCUCAUAGAAUGUUGAUUAAUCCUUGUGUCCUAAUUAACAGACCAUGGCGUGAAGGGACGAGACUGUCAAUACUAAUAAUGGAGUCACAAGAUCUGAAGUAACUAGCUUGUUGAACACAAUGCUAGUUUCUGUCCCUGAAUAAAUCAGUCUCUAGAACGUUAAAUGGUCUGUCAGUAUAUUUAUUUUUCUCAAAGUCUCUUAGCAAUUAGUGCACCUCCUCCUAUAUCUUCUAAUCCAGUGUUGAGUUUCUAUAGGUGGAUAUGUGUAAUAAAUGCUAUAAUUAGUAUGCUUUGCACUAUUAAAAAAAUAUUUUAGGAGGUGGUUGUUUUUUUAUAAACGGAGGCAGGAACGACAUCCGCCUUUGUCAUAACGCCAUUGUUUACGAAGAUGCCUCCGUUAAUCAGGCUUUCCGAAGACAGGCUGCCUCAGUUAAUGUUAUUUAUGAAGAUGGUCGCUUUAAGACGUCUGCAUCCGUUAAUUGUCUCAAAACACUAAGAAAACAAAAUAUUUAGGCAAGUCUCAAUGCAUGUUUCAUGAGAGUGUCAUGCACAUUAAAUAGGGUGCCACAUAAGUAUAAUUGCUGACUUGGCAGGG